This 28-nucleotide non-coding RNA is filed under the name Mus musculus (house mouse). The record is from RNAcentral. Lineage: Eukaryota; Metazoa; Chordata; Mammalia; Rodentia; Muridae.
UCAUGCUGUCUCUGGUUCGGUGUUAGGG